RNAcentral lists this long non-coding RNA (256 nucleotides) under Brassica rapa (field mustard). Its description in RNAcentral is "long non-coding RNA (BRAP_LNC000143)". Lineage: Eukaryota; Viridiplantae; Streptophyta; Magnoliopsida; Brassicales; Brassicaceae. The record is from RNAcentral.
GUGUAUGACUGGUGACCAUUCGGGAAACAAGAGGAACACAUAAAAAAGGAAUGUUCGGGAAUAAAAUAGCAGGAAUGAAAAGGAAUGAUUGUUCCUUAUCAAUUUUAUCAAGGAACAAUUUUGUUUUUUAAUUCUCUACAAAAAAAGGAAUGAAAGGGAAUGAGAGAGAAUUAUUAUUCCUUUUGAAUGGUGAUUUUUUUUAGGAACGUUAAGGAAUGCAUUAUUCCUCGCCGUUCCCUGGUCACCAUUCAUACCC